Molecule: ribosomal RNA, 1007 nt
Filed under: human gut metagenome
Description: bacterial LSU rRNA
Rfam family: Bacterial large subunit ribosomal RNA
Source: RNAcentral
GUAAACGGCGGCCGUAACUAUAACGGUCCUAAGGUAGCGAAAUUCCUUGUCGGGUAAGUUCCGACCUGCACGAAUGGCGUAAUGAUGGCCAGGCUGUCUCCACCCGAGACUCAGUGAAAUUGAACUCGCUGUGAAGAUGCAGUGUACCCGCGGCAAGACGGAAAGACCCCGUGAACCUUUACUAUAGCUUGACACUGAACAUUGAGCCUUGAUGUGUAGGAUAGGUGGGAGGCUUUGAAGUGUGGACGCCAGUCUGCAUGGAGCCGACCUUGAAAUACCACCCUUUAAUGUUUGAUGUUCUAACGUGGGCCCCUUACCGGGGUUGCGGACAGUGUCUGGUGGGUAGUUUGACUGGGGCGGUCUCCUCCUAAAGAGUAACGGAGGAGCACGAAGGUUGGCUAAUCCUGGUCGGACAUCAGGAGGUUAGUGCAAUGGCAUAAGCCAGCUUGACUGCGAGCGUGACGGCGCGAGCAGGUGCGAAAGCAGGUCAUAGUGAUCCGGUGGUUCUGAAUGGAAGGGCCAUCGCUCAACGGAUAAAAGGUACUCCGGGGAUAACAGGCUGAUACCGCCCAAGAGUUCAUAUCGACGGCGGUGUUUGGCACCUCGAUGUCGGCUCAUCUCAUCCUGGGGCUGUAGCCGGUCCCAAGGGUAUGGCUGUUCGCCAUUUAAAGAGGUACGUGAGCUGGGUUUAAAACGUCGUGAGACAGUUUUGUCCCUAUCUGCCGUGGGCGCUGGAAGAUUGACGGGGGCUGCUCCUAGUACGAGAGGACCGGAGUGGACUCACCUCUGGUGUACCGGUUGUCACGCCAGUGGCAUCGCCGGGUAGCUAUGUGGGGAAGAGAUAACCGCUGAAAGCAUCUAAGCGGGAAACUUGCCUGAAGAUAAGUCUUCCUGGAGGCUAGACCUCCCUAAAGAGUCGUUCGAGACCAGGACGUUGAUAGGAUGGGUGUGUAAGUGCUGUGAGGCACUCAGCUAACCAUUACUAAUUGCUCGUGAAGCUUGAUCCU